This is a long non-coding RNA of Lathyrus oleraceus (garden pea), 1001 nucleotides long. RefSeq lists it as uncharacterized. The transcript has 3 exons. The record is from RefSeq and is a predicted model, not a curated record. Lineage: Eukaryota; Viridiplantae; Streptophyta; Magnoliopsida; Fabales; Fabaceae.
GUCCUUCAUGCAGCAGGGAGAAGGCUACGGACAAACUUCUCGUCGUCGUGCUUCCAACACCGGAACGACAAGACGGAAACACACGACUCCGUCUCGACUCCAACUCAAACUCGCGCGAACGCCAAGAAGAACGGCGAACCACGAACGCGCCUUCAUCCUCUUACGAAGAAUUCUAGAAAACAACUUCGAGUACACAUUCACUAUCGGCGUCGAAUCGCAAUCAACCGACAUCGAAAUUACUCAAUGACUUGUACAAGAAAUGAAGCUGAAUGCAGAAUGGAAGCGUACCAAACUCGCGUGGCGCGUGGAGAUGAAGACGAAAGCGAAACUCUGCUCAUAUUCGUGCGCAAAAACUGGUUGUUGAAGAUGGCUUAAGAAUUGAGGUUGAUGGAGAUGAAGGGAGAGUGAAGAGGCUCCAAGUUCGGAAAGAAGAUAAGAGACUGCUCUUCUUCCGUUUUGGGGAAUUUCAGGUGAGGGUUGAAGGUGGUGGAAGAUGGAGAUCUUAAUUUCGGUUAUGAUUUUUCUGAACCUGAUGAGUGAUGAUGAGGGAUAUAUAUAUAAGGAUUGAACCUUCACGGAGUCAAGGUUCCGUUAACAUCUCUUAGUGAAGAAUCGGUUGAACGUUGCUUAUGCAGCUUUUGCGUACUGCGCUGGCGUGGCUUGGUGUGAAGUUUCGGAACACCGCUUUGGCUUGCACACGCGUUUCUGGUUUGGCUUGAGUUUGCCGCAUUUUGGAGCUUGCAACGCGGACGUCGAGUUUUGGCUCUUGUGCGUCACGACUUGUGUUUGUGUUCAUAGCAUCUUGUGGCUUUUUUGCUUUUCGUUGCCAUGGACGUUACAGCUUUUGGCAUACGCUGCAUUUGGUUGUUUCUUUGUUUUUGUCUCAUUCAGCUAUUGCACUUGGGGUACUGAACAUUGUAAUUCACUUAACUUGAAAAUGUGGCUAUUGGUCAUGGUUUGAAUUAUGGAUACAGUCAAUUGGAAUAUGGAUAUUUGGUUCA